UGGGGAAUUUUGGACAAUGGGCGAAAGCCUGAUCCAGCAAUGCCGCGUGUGUGAAGAAGGCCUUCGGGUUGUAAAGCACUUUUGUCCGGAAAGAAAUCCUUGGCUCUAAUACAGUCGGGGGAUGACGGUACCGGAAGAAUAAGCACCGGCUAACUACGUGCCAGCAGCCGCGGUAAUACGUAGGGUGCAAGCGUUAAUCGGAAUUACUGGGCGUAAAGCGUGCGCAGGCGGUUUGCUAAGACCGAUGUGAAAUCCCCGGGCUCAACCUGGGAACCGCAUUGGUGACUGGCAGGCUAGAGUAUGGCAGAGGGGGGUAGAAUUCCACGUGUAGCAGUGAAAUGCGUAGAGAUGUGGAGGAAUACCGAUGGCGAAGGCAGCCCCCUGGGCCAAUACUGACGCUCAUGCACGAAAGCGUGGGGAGCAAACAGGAUUAGAUACCCUGGUAGUCCACGCCCUAAACGAUGUCAACUAGUUGUUGGGGAUUCAUUUCCUUAGUAACGUAGCUAACGCGUGAAGUUGACCGCCUGGGGAGUACGGUCGCAAGAUUAAAACUCAAAUGAAUUGACGGGGUCAUAGCUGUUUCCUG
RNAcentral lists this ribosomal RNA (586 nucleotides) under uncultured bacterium. RNAcentral describes it as "partial 16S ribosomal RNA". It matches the Rfam family "Bacterial small subunit ribosomal RNA", at positions 355 to 1376 of the family's 1533-position model. The record is from RNAcentral.